Non-coding RNA from Characodon lateralis, 73 nucleotides. Lineage: Eukaryota; Metazoa; Chordata; Actinopteri; Cyprinodontiformes; Goodeidae. The record is from the annotation of a GenBank genome assembly.
UGCAUGGCAGCACCGUUGGUAGCACUGUUGCCUUGCGAGAAGAAGGUCCUGGGUUCGACUCCCGGCCGUGCAU